UGAGCAAUCUGCCCUUCGCAUCGGAAUAACCAUUGGAAACGAUGGCUAAUACCGAAUAUGACUUCGGAUCGCAUGAUCUGAAGUGGAAAGCUCCGGCGGUGAAGGAUGAGCUCGCGGCCUAUCAACUUGUUGGUGUGGGUAAUGGCCCACCAAGGCGACGAUGGGUAGCCGGCCUGAGAGGGUGACCGGCCACACGUGGGACUGAGACACGGCCCAGACUCCGUACGGGG
RNAcentral lists this ribosomal RNA (230 nucleotides) under uncultured bacterium. RNAcentral's name for it is "partial 16S ribosomal RNA". It matches the Rfam family "Bacterial small subunit ribosomal RNA", at positions 118 to 346 of the family's 1533-position model. The record is from RNAcentral.